RNAcentral lists this long non-coding RNA (549 nucleotides) under Nicotiana benthamiana. RNAcentral describes it as "long non-coding RNA (NBEN_LNC007571)". The record is from RNAcentral. Lineage: Eukaryota; Viridiplantae; Streptophyta; Magnoliopsida; Solanales; Solanaceae.
ACCAAACAUAUAGAUUCUGCAAGCAACUACUUUUCAGCGUAGGAAUCUGGGUCCUUUGAUCUUCAAAGCAUCUUUUGUUCCUUUCUAGCCAGAUGGUCCACAUGAUGCAUAAGGGAAUGGUAAUCUGUUAGACCCUUGACAAAGCUGAUCGGCAAGCGGCGCGACAGUGGCGAGGAUUUUGGCAUGAUGGCAUUGCCAUUGGCCUUAUAUGCGGGGAAAAUCAACAUGCAAGACAAUGCGGUUGUUGUCAAUGGCAACAAACUGUUGCAAGGGCAAGUGUGACGGACUACGCUUCUAUUUGAGGGCUUUGGUGUGACGGACUACAUCAAAAAUAUAAAGGGUUUGUUUGCAGGCAGAGGCCAAGACCUUGAGGGAACUAGGCGGGCUGAACGGAUGCUUGACAAGGCAAAACAAGAAAGACCUCUAUUCUCUCACAGAUUUGUUUGCAGGCAGAGGCCAAGACCUUGACGGAACUAGGCGGGCUGAACGGAUGCUUGACAAGGCAAAACGGGAAAGGCCUUGGCGCUAAAUUGGGGCAACUUAGUGCCA